GAGCAAAACUGUGGACUAGUAAUUUUUUAUCCUUAUUAUUUUGGGCCAUCCAAACCUCCUCAUACUUCUCCGUUCCCCUCGUACUCUCCUCUUCUCUGUUGCCGAAUGGAAGUCUCUCGGUGGAGCCAAUGCUACGCCGUCUUCUCCCAGAUGAAGAAGAACACCUCUGCUCCCUUGCUAGGUUAGCGUGUCCUUUUGCCGCCUCUUUCUCUAAUUUCUUCUUGCCUUUCCCGCUCGAAAGUCGUUCUUUUAAGGGAUUUGUUACCUUCCGCAGCCAGGAAAUCCAAAUACUCUGGCCAAUCAAUUAGAGCAAUUCCGAUUCGAAUAUUGACGGUGGGCAAGAGGAGGUCUCCAGGGGUGCAGCUUUUGGUCGAGGAGUACAUGGAGAAGCUCAGGUACUAUUGCAGCGUCGAGGAUGUCCAUGUAAAGUCUAAUCCAAAAAGUAGCAGGUAUUCUAUGCUAUUAUCUUCUUCUUCAUGGAGACUAAAGAUAUUAGGCCUUUUCUUAAAAAUUAAUGUAAAUAUGCAAGGCUUGUGCAAAUUAACGUCUUGGAGGAGUGUCGAUGCCUCAAAAUUUAUGUAUACCUAAAUUUUAGAAAAUUGGAAAGGUGUCAACUUUUUUGUGAUUUUUCUUUUGGAAGUCUUAUUUAUGUAUAAUUACCAAACUUCUAAACUUACUACUGUAAGUUUAUGCUUCUGAUACUCUAAGCAGCAAUGUGAAAGCUCAGAUUGAUGCAGAAGACAUGGUCAUUAUGCAACAGAUCAGACAUGAAGAUUGGGUAUGGUCUUAAUUACAUUGUCUAUUGUCCUUCACUGUGCCAUAACUUCUAUUGGAGGAAACCUCGAGUGGAAGAGUUAGAGGGUUGUUGUGUUGGAUGAGCAUGGACUAGAUGUCGGAUCUGUGCAGUUAGCUGAUUUAUUGGGUGAUGCAGGAAGAACAGUAUGUACUUUACCUUUACCUUAGAUGAUCCUUGAAAAUGCAGCAGAGUAUCUGAAAUUUUUUCAACUUUACAAAAGGAUUAUGUUUCAUGAAAAUGAGUGGGCAUGACAGUAGUCUAGCAUCCUUUUUCAAGUAUCUUCAGUUCAUUUUCAGUCCAGAGGUAACAUUGACUACCAAUAUACUUAGACAUACUUCACAGAGACACUCUCAUUUGUUAGACACGGCUUGUAAGAACCAGAUUUAAUCAAAAUAAUCUCUAUAUUAGACCCUCUUUCAUCAUUAUUGUAGUUCAAGACUUAGUUAACUCAGUUGUAAUUGGCUUUAGUGGACUAGUUGCUUGAAUUUCAGUCAUAUAGUUUUAAAUUAAUGGAAAUGUCCAUAUGUUCAAGUCGUAUGUUGUUUUUUUCUGAUAUGUGCAAUAUCAAAUGGUUUUAGACUUUUAGUAAGUUGAUCCCUCUGAAUGAACCUCAAAUAUGAUACACUUAGUUGAACCUUUAUUUGUAGAAGAUUUAUAUGAAGAAACAGUAUAGGGUUGAAUGUACAACAAUGCACAUCUGAACUUUUCCCAAUCCUGUGGAGUUACGUAUUCAAGUUUGUAAUGCUUUCUGCAGAGAAGAGACAAUAUGGAAUUACAUAUUCAAGUCAUUUCCUUUUUUUUUUCCAAAGAAACAGUUUCUUCUUGUAUUUUC
RNA transcript from Musa acuminata AAA Group (dessert banana), 1628 nucleotides. It is a transcript of the gene named putative RNA methyltransferase At5g10620, with no coding region annotated. Lineage: Eukaryota; Viridiplantae; Streptophyta; Magnoliopsida; Zingiberales; Musaceae. The record is from RefSeq and is a predicted model, not a curated record. The transcript is spliced from 3 exons.